RNAcentral lists this ribosomal RNA (566 nucleotides) under Colletotrichum siamense. Its description in RNAcentral is "eukaryotic LSU rRNA". The stretch from base 193 to 346 matches the Rfam family "5.8S ribosomal RNA". Lineage: Eukaryota; Fungi; Ascomycota; Sordariomycetes; Glomerellales; Glomerellaceae. The record is from RNAcentral.
UACCUGCGGAGGGAUCAUUACUGAGUUUACGCUCUACAACCCUUUGUGAACAUACCUAUAACUGUUGCUUCGGCGGGUAGGGUCUCCGCGACCCUCCCGGCCUCCCGCCUCCGGGCGGGUCGGCGCCCGCCGGAGGAUAACCAAACUCUGAUUUAACGACGUUUCUUCUGAGUGGUACAAGCAAAUAAUCAAAACUUUUAACAACGGAUCUCUUGGUUCUGGCAUCGAUGAAGAACGCAGCGAAAUGCGAUAAGUAAUGUGAAUUGCAGAAUUCAGUGAAUCAUCGAAUCUUUGAACGCACAUUGCGCCCGCCAGCAUUCUGGCGGGCAUGCCUGUUCGAGCGUCAUUUCAACCCUCAAGCUCUGCUUGGUGUUGGGGCCCUACAGCUGAUGUAGGCCCUCAAAGGUAGUGGCGGACCCUCUCGGAGCCUCCUUUGCGUAGUAACUUUACGUCUCGCACUGGGAUCCGGAGGGACUCUUGCCGUAAAACCCCCAAUUUUCCAAAGGUUGACCUCGGAUCAGGUAGGAAUACCCGCUGAACUUAAGCAUAUCAAUAGGCCGGAGGAA